CAUUUUUGAGCCUCAGUAUGCUCUUGCUCGACAUCUAAUUACUAAACAUGUACAAUUGGAAGCAGUUGUAGAUGAUACAUAUGAUGCAUAUGGUACACUUGAUGAACUUAAAUCUUUUACAGCUGCACUUGAAAGGUUUAGUAUGGAUGCUACUGAUGAGCUACCGGAAUACAUGAAAGUUCUUUAUAAGGCUAUCUUCAAUCACUUUAAAGAAACAGAGAAUAAUGGCAAUGAAGGAAGCUCUUACAAAACCUCUUUUGCUAGGGAGAUGUUGAAGGAACUGACAAGAGGUUACCUAACCGAGGCA
Molecule: non-coding RNA, 307 nt
Organism: Jatropha curcas
Lineage: Eukaryota; Viridiplantae; Streptophyta; Magnoliopsida; Malpighiales; Euphorbiaceae
Source: RefSeq, a predicted model, not a curated record